Long non-coding RNA from Triticum aestivum (bread wheat), 2241 nucleotides. RefSeq lists it as uncharacterized. The transcript has 4 exons. The record is from RefSeq and is a predicted model, not a curated record. NCBI's taxonomy places the organism in Eukaryota, Viridiplantae, Streptophyta, Magnoliopsida, Poales, Poaceae.
GCCGUACCGCGCAUCCGCUCGCCAGUCCCGGCUCUCCUUUACCGUGAAGCCUGAAGCCAUAGCCGCACCCCGACCACGAAGCCGGCGCCCGAUCCACUCGCUCUGACCUUGAUAGCGCCGUCGGACACCGUCCGUCGACCCCGUCGCCCGUACCUUGACUGAGUCACCGGAAGCAGCCGCCCGACCCCUACCCCGUCGCCCCUACAACAAUGCCGUGCGCCCUCCCUAUCGACCCUGUGCUGCUUCACCCUACCUCGACCUCGCAUCCGGACGUCGUUGCUCUACCUCAGUGAGCUUUUGUAUGCCUUGUGGAUUGUUGCUGUGUUCUGUCUUCCAGUAGCGGCUUUGUCAAGAUGGUUGGUUGCUAAGAUGGUCAAUUGUGGGAAGGCGGUCGACGCCGGCGGCCAAGAAGGCAACAUCGAGUAGCUCCAAGGUCGGGCUGCAAUUCCCCGUUGGCAGGAUCGCCAGAUUCCUCAAGGCCGGCAAGUACGCCGAGCGCUUAGGCACUGGUGCCCGCAUCUACCUCGCCGCCGUUCCACAAGUACCUCGCCGCUGAUGCCGUGGAGCUGGCUGGCAACGCUGCCGAUGCCAGGGACAACAAGAAGACCCAUAUCAUGCACCGCCACAUCCAGCUCGCCGUGCGCAAUGGCGAGGAGCUAUAUAUCUCAGGUUGGUUGUAGGGAACACAAGACAAACAGGAGCAAGUUCGUCCAUGUCGGACCCUUUUCAUUUAUUUAUUUUGCGAAUUCCUUUUCAUUUAUUCGUGAGCAUAUGUAUGCUACUAUUCUUGUCUGAAAUUCCUUUUAUCUUUGCAUGAUCGGAGCCAUGAGGAUUGCUACUCCGUAAGCAGCAGCGUACUCCUAGAUGACAACUUGCCCGAAUGAGCUGAUGAUGGUUUCUUGGAAAUAUAUAGACCUAUAUGAUUUAUUGUUGGGACAGGAGGGGGCCAACAUCCAGCAAGAUAUGGUGCUGCAAAAUGAAUGUGGGGUUUGUCUAGCUAAUCAGGUUGGUGUGGUGCAGUACCCUCUGCUGUUCAUAUCUUCUUUUUUUGUUGCAAUUCUGACGUCCUGAUUCAGUUGCUUAGUUGUGAUAGAUUUCCAUUCACUUGGUCUAUAGAUAUCCAGAAACCUGUGAUGAAACAUGUUGCUUGAAUUGUCAACUCCAUCGCUGGCUAUAUAUUAGACUUACUACACUUUUUGCAUUAUCUUCUUCGGUGAAAAUUUGUUAUAUGCUAGGAAACAAGCUGCUUCAAAUAAACAGACCUAAAUACAUUCUUAGUCCAAUAGUUAAUUAGUAUAACUAUGGCACCACCUAGCUUGCUAUUUUUGACCUUCAAGCCAUCCAUUAGUCCUAUGUCGCUGCCCCAAUGCACUUGCUUCUUUGUACUGUAUUUUGCUUACCAUCCUAUCAAUUGUUUUGGACAAUAUCUCUAGAUGUGUGGUUCAUCUACUUACUGCAUGAGACAUCUUUCCAUAUUUAUCUGAACCAUGUAGGUCACACCAAAGAUGUAUUCUGACACAUCCAUCUUAAUCAGCACUAUGUCUAUCUGGCUCUAGCUUGUUGUCUAUGUCAGGUUUGACUUUAAUAUCCUUAAUGAUAAAACCCUUAGUUGAUUCAUCCACGUUUUAUAUUAUUUAUUUAGUAGUAUGAAAUUUUGAUGAAAGUAAGCGUAUUUACAUAGUACAUGUAUGUGUAAUCAGUUUCCUGUCAUUUUCAAUACUCGCUUCACCUGUCAAGAGGGGGGAAAAGAUUAUCUAUCUUCACUGACAUCCAUGGUCCUCGAGUGUGUUCUUAUUUCAUUGUUACUUGUUAUGUUUGUUGAAUAUCAAUGCAUUUUGUUCUCAGAAUCAAGUUUGACCUCUUUCCUGCUCAUGUGUAGUUUAGGGGGGAAAAUAGGUCUUGCAAAAAAAAACAUGCUUGAGAUCUCAAUAGUAUAAGAUUCUUUUUUACUGUGUUUGUGCUAAAAACAUGCUCUAAUCAUUUCGGAGGCUGUGCAACAGAGGACCUGCUUUCAGAGAGUAUCAUGUAUGCAAAGCCAGUAGAUUAUGAAGAUUUACUUGCAUCCUUACAGUAGCUAUUACAUUUUUUGUUUAUUCAUCCCUAUAGUUGGGUGCAAAACUGCAAGUAUGCCAGCUGCCUGUCGAUGUUUAAGGUUAUUGUUGCCAUUCGUUCACCGAGUCACCGAGUGAAAGAUCUGUUGCUCUGUUAUUUCAAAAGAAAACAGAAAACUUUCGUGAUACA